UACAUAGGUUACAAGCGUUAUCCGGAUUUACUGGGCAUAAAGCGAGCGCAGGCUGAUUAACAAGUCUAGUGUUAAAUGCAGUUACUCAAUAAUUGUAUGCAUCAGAAACUGUUAUUCUUGAGUGUGAUAGGGAGUUCUGGAACUCCAUAUGGAGCGGUGAAAUGUGUAGAUAUAUGGAAGAACACUCGUGGUGAAAACGAGAACUUAGGUCAUUACUGACGCUUAGGCUCGAAAGUGUGGGGAGCAAAUA
This 250-nucleotide ribosomal RNA is filed under the name uncultured prokaryote. Its description in RNAcentral is "partial 16S ribosomal RNA". It matches the Rfam family "Bacterial small subunit ribosomal RNA", at positions 524 to 774 of the family's 1533-position model. The record is from RNAcentral.